AGAGUUUGAUCAUGGCUCAGGACGAACGCUGGCGGCGUGCUUAACACAUGCAAGUGGAGCGACGAACCAGGGCUUGCCCUGGGGCAGAGCCGCGAACGGGUGAGUAACACGUGGGUAACCUACCCCGAUGACCGGGACAACCCGAGGAAACUCGGGCUAAUACCGGAUGUUCUCGUUUCUCGUAAGUGAAUCGAGUAAAGAUAGCUUCGGCCUUCGCAUCGGGACGGGCCCGCGGCCCAUUAGCUUGUUGGUGGGGUAACGGCCUACCAAGGCGACGAUGGGUAGCUGGUCUGAGAGGACGAUCAGCCACACUGGGACUGAGACACGGCCCAGACUCCUACGGGAGGCAGCAGUGGGGAAUCUUGCGCAAUGCGCGAAAGCGUGACGCAGCAACGCCGCGUGGGGGAAGAAGGCCUUCGGGUUGUAAACCCCUUUCAGUUGGGACGAAGCUUCGUCGGUUAAUAGCCGGCUGGAGUGACGGUACCUUCAGAAGAAGCCCCGCUAACUACGUGCCAGCAGCCGCGGUA
This 527-nucleotide ribosomal RNA is filed under the name uncultured Actinomycetes bacterium. Its description in RNAcentral is "bacterial SSU rRNA". It matches the Rfam family "Bacterial small subunit ribosomal RNA", at positions 8 to 522 of the family's 1533-position model. Lineage: Bacteria; Bacillati; Actinomycetota; Actinomycetes. The record is from RNAcentral.